UGGGGAAUUUUGGACAAUGGGCGAAAGCCUGAUCCAGCAAUGCCGCGUGUGUGAAGAAGGCCUUCGGGUUGUAAAGCACUUUUGUCCGGAAAGAAAUCCUUGGCUCUAAUACAGUCGGGGGAUGACGGUACCGGAAGAAUAAGCACCGGCUAACUACGUGCCAGCAGCCGCGGUAAUACGUAGGGUGCAAGCGUUAAUCGGAAUUACUGGGCGUAAAGCGUGCGCAGGCGGUUUGCUAAGACCGAUGUGAAAUCCCCGGGCGUCAACCUAGGGCAACUGGCAUUGGCUGCAUGCUGGGCAGGCUAGAGUAUGGCAGAGGGGGGUAGAAUUCCACGUGUAGCAGUGAAAUGCGUAGAGAUGUGGAGGAAUACCGAUGGCGAAGGCAGCCCCCUGGGCCAAUACUGACGCUCAUGCACGAAAGCGUGGGGAGCAAACAGGAUUAGAUACCCUGGUAGUCCACGCCCUAAACGAUGUCAACUAGUUGUUGGGGAUUCAUUUCCUUAGUAACGUAGCUAACGCGUGAAGUUGACCGCCUGGGGAGUACGGUCGCAAGAUUAAAACUUAAAUGAAUUGACGGGGUCAUAGCUGUUUCCU
RNAcentral lists this ribosomal RNA (594 nucleotides) under uncultured bacterium. RNAcentral's name for it is "partial 16S ribosomal RNA". It matches the Rfam family "Bacterial small subunit ribosomal RNA", at positions 355 to 1375 of the family's 1533-position model. The record is from RNAcentral.